Long non-coding RNA from Aotus nancymaae (Ma's night monkey), 473 nucleotides. The record is from Ensembl. Lineage: Eukaryota; Metazoa; Chordata; Mammalia; Primates; Aotidae.
AUGGCCCAGAACUUCUCUGAAUCUUGGUACCUAAGUCCCACAUUACAAGUCUGGAGUCUAGAAGAAGUGCUUUUUAGGACUCAAAGUGACAUAGCAACAAGACACAGAGUAAAUAAGCAACUGGGUGCCCCAAAGAAGCAUGAAACUCCAAUAGGAUGCAAGAACAACCUGGGAUCUAAGGCACAAGGUGAUGGACCAAUGAAAACAGAAGAGGAAUCAUGCAAAAUAAUGCAAAUGAGACAUGUGAACAGAAUCAGUUUUCUGCUAUCGUCAGGGUUCUUUAUGGUGCCUGUGAAGCACCCAUUUUCUUAUGGACUGUAAUCAACAAUAUCUGGAAAGUGUAAAAUGUUCAGGAGAGGAGGUUCGUUUUGAGUUUUCUUGGUUUUAAAACUACUGGGACCUUAAGUGCUGUAAGUUUUGUAGGAGAAGGACACUGGGUGUCUAAUCGUCAGGUCUUAGAAUGUCCUGACUUC